CUCUUUCUUAGCUUCCUCAAAAUGAUUGCUGGCAUCCUGUAGUGUUUCACCUAGCAAUAGACCCUCCAAACGACGUUCGAAUAGGAAUUACAUAUGUAUGUAUGUAUGAACUGUCAUUCGAAAACACUGCCAAAUAAAUGAAUUUUGUCAGAUGUUGGGUAGUAUAUAUGAAUGCGGACACAACAUUAAAAAAAAUGCUGCGAAAUUACAUAAUAUACGAAUAAUGCACAUCAAGUUCUUGCAUAAUUACAUAUAUUCCUGGACCUGUGUAUACUGCCUAGAUAUUUGGAAUACAUCGAUCAAACAAGACUGAUUCCAUAGGUAUUCUAACUGAAAUCUCCUUACCCUGCUGGAAAUUUCAAUAGCAAAGRUAUAUUCGAUUUAUUGUAUUAAAUAUAUUUUCAAAAAUACCGAUGGUACUUAUUGGCUUURCACGAACUAUGUGAUAUAAUCUCCAGGUAUGUAUUUACACCAUGGCUUACUAUUUUAUAAGAAUCUGAUGUAUAAAGUCUAAAUAAAACUAAAUGUUAAAUCUUAUUUACAUAUGUAUGUAUGUAUCGGUGUACUGGAGACUCAAGAGCUGAAAUCUUGAAAAACCAAGAAAAGUAAACUGCGGUUAAGCCUAAGUUAUAAUACGCUUCACAGGUGCGUUUCUAAAUGGAACUAUGUGGGGACUAUGGGGACCAAUGAUUUGUAUCUAACGUAAAAUUGUUUGCCUGUACAGCCACAAUAAUCCAUGUCAAAUUUCGUAAAGAAAUCUUGUCAAAUAAGAAACAUACGUACUUUAUUUUAAUGGACUAGUUUGUAUGGAAGAUGUAUGAAGAUUCAGAUCAAUAUAUCAAAUGUUAAUGAACUAGUUGACUACAUACGUAUAUACAGACGGAUCGACUCAGCUCG
Molecule: long non-coding RNA, 897 nt
Organism: Bactrocera latifrons
Lineage: Eukaryota; Metazoa; Arthropoda; Insecta; Diptera; Tephritidae
Exons: 3
Source: RefSeq, a predicted model, not a curated record